RNAcentral lists this transfer RNA (91 nucleotides) under Atopobium sp. RNAcentral's name for it is "tRNA-Ser". It matches the Rfam family "tRNA". From Rfam's summary of the family: Transfer RNA (tRNA) molecules are approximately 80 nucleotides in length. The record is from RNAcentral. Lineage: Bacteria; Bacillati; Actinomycetota; Coriobacteriia; Coriobacteriales; Atopobiaceae.
GGAGAGCUGACCGAGCGGUUGAAGGUGCUUGAUUGCUAAUCAAGUAUGGGUUCAUAAUCCAUCUGGGGUUCAAAUCCCCAGCUCUCCGCCA